AAAACAAUUUACGUGUUAAUUACAACAAAAACUUUAUCUGUAUAGAUUUUUGAAAAAUCCAGAUAAUUAUCCAGAUUUUACUUUCUCUCGAUAGAAAACAGUGCUGCCAAUGUACAUAACACUUAUUAAAUGUCAGAUUCCAUUAAGCGACAGCUGCAGUUGACAGAUAUAUGACAAAAAAAUUUAAUAUUUAAAAUUGAAUUCAAUUAAGAAUAACAAACAACACAAAUCAAUGAUUCGCGUUUUUGCAAGAGUGCGAUAUCUUCCGCAAAAUUAAAGAAAAAAACCUGAAAAGGAGAUGGAAAGAAUUAUUUCACAAAAGAAGAAUUCUGUGUACUGUGCCCUUGUGUCUUAAUCGUGUCGAUACCUUCAACCCUCACAGCCAAAAUGUAAUGUAAAAUGCUCUUGGAAUGCCCGAUCGUUUGCGAAAACGUCUAUUCUUUGACGAUAAACAUGGAUAAAUGUUAACAAAGCUCUUGAUGUUAGUCAAUUGCCUCAUUAGAAUGCCCACCACAAAAACAAUCUCAUACAUUUUAAAAAUGAUACACGUCAUGUAUGUGCGCUGCGAAGAAAAGCAAAUACAAACAUACCUUCCGAAAAAUAUUCCCCCAGGAUAUACUUUUCAUCCCAAACAGCACACAGCAACAAGCAAGACAAUCCUAACAUUGCAUUAUGCAGCUCAUUCAACACCCAAAUCCUUCAGCUCCCUAAAAUCGCCCUUACUUUAUAUAAAUGGAAUCAGAAUCAAGACCUGUUGAUGAAAAGCCAUUUAAGAAGAUGAUCGCUUCACUGCCUACAAACUUGUACGACAUGUGCAUGUAAAGUGAAGUGUGGAAACAAUGGCAUCUUGAAAAUGGUAAUUGUUUCAAAGCAUCAUUUAGCUUCCCAAUUGGUUGCAGAUGUACUCUGCCUGCACUGAUGUCGUCCUGUUUCUGUAGGAGAUGUCUUCUAGAAAUGGGUUUAAAGCCCUAAUCGAGAUCCCGAGAAAAUGAUAUCUGCAUGAAUCUUCUUCGCAAUUACUUUCCCCUCCUAAACAGUUAUGCAGCGGGAGGAAUUAAAGCAAUACAAAUGGAUUCCCAACACAACCAACCCUACAAUUGAAAUCCGGGUCUGAGCACCUCGAGGACAACCUAGACAGCAGACUUUUUAAAUUAAGUUUAUCCAUGUAUUAUAUUUUUUAUAUUUUAUAACUUUUAUUUUGUUGACCAAUUUGUAUUUAAUAGUUUGGGUUGGAAAAUGUAUUUUAAAACGACCAAAAAAGCCGACGGAAAAUACAUUUUCCAACCCAAACCAUUAUUUAACGUUAGACCUCUUUGUGCCAUUAAAUUUUAAAUGUGUCUUAGAAAUAAGUUAUUUUAAGUCAAUUGUAAAUAGCAAGUUCAAUAAACCAAAAUUUCAAAUUUAAAACGUAAUCCGGUUUGCUUUUUUUCAUUAAGAUUUAUCUAACCAGUUUCCAAUCCGAUAUGAAAAUUAAAUACAAAUUUGUUCGCGCCUCACUGCAUAAUCUCAGAACUGUUCUUUUACAUCGGACUUACAAAAUGUUUCCAUAAAAAAUUCAACACAUAACUUUGUAUUAAUUUUUAGAAAUAAACAACAUAGGUAAUCAAAGAAAUAAAUACUCAGCUUUUGACAAAAUUCAAGAUGCUGAGGGCACUUCGGUAUCCUGAUUAAAAUUCCAUAAAUCAAGGCGACCACUGCCGUCGACAGAAGCGAACAAGUCGGGGUGAAUUAUCUUCAAAUGAAAAUAAUGGUUAAGUGUUCUACAAAUAAAUACAAAAAAUGUUAUACACAUUGGUCGUUAGAGUAGAUAUUAAAUUUCACCUAAGACUCCAUAACUUAAUUGUCCAAUCAAUGGACGAUGUAAGUAACGAAUCACCAAAAUCUGGUGUAGAUUGAUUUGGAUGAGUUGAUAUUCCCGUCAUAGGACCCAAAUGCUUCUCAUAGACUUCAGACACACCCGACCGUAUUCCAUGUCGAUAAGCUUGAGUAGAAACAACAAUUUAUUUAUAAGCAAAUGUAAAAUCACAAGAAACUUUUACAAUAAUAAACACUGCCAUCUUCACUACCCAUAACCAGAUUGUAAAUCUCAUUAGAUGGAAAGGACAUGCAAGUGAUUGCCGUUGCUGCAAUUUCAGUGUAUCUUGCGGCCAUCGGAUGAGAUCGAUAUUGUCUGCAUUCUGUGUGCCAACCAUUUGCAAACAGUACACUGGAUGCGUAUGUGAAGUUGCACUUAGAAUUGUCCUCUGGAUGGGUGUGCGCUUUUACACUCGAUUAUCCCAUAAUACAAUCUGACCGGAAUACGUUCCACCGAGUAUAAUAUUCUGAUUGAAUUUAGCAAAGCAUGUUGACAUAACGGCACUCUGACAAUGGAAUUCAUCUUCGGGUGUUUGUUUUUUAUAUUUUGUGUUCCAGGCCAUUACAAUACUAUCUUGUUCAUUGGGACUCUCCUUAAAAAAGUAAGUGGGUUUAAGAUAGAAUCGUAGAAAAAAUACAAUUGCAAACCUCAUUAUUUGGAUAUGAAGCAACAACCAGUUUAGGAAAAUGUGUUGACCAAUCCAUUGCAGUGAUGCAUCGAUUUUUAGACCAUCGGUCUUCGUAGAAAGCUCAAUUCAAUGGCAACCUGUGUCCUCUCAUCGUUUGACUCUUCAUUAUCACCACCUCCAAUAUGUAGUCUGUGUAAAUGUCGACAUUCUCAAAUAGAGCCCUUUCGAUGACACGUCCAGCGCGUAAAACAAACCUUUAAAAAUCCUCCGACAAGAUGAUCAUCUGUUUUUGUUCUUCCGUUCUGAAAGCACAAA
Molecule: long non-coding RNA, 2798 nt
Organism: Episyrphus balteatus (marmalade hoverfly)
Lineage: Eukaryota; Metazoa; Arthropoda; Insecta; Diptera; Syrphidae
Exons: 5
Source: RefSeq, a predicted model, not a curated record